CACUCUCUAUGCAGCUCAUUCCUGAAGAAGGGCUUUGGCAUGUGGAGAUUAUGCCCUCUUGCUAGGGUACUGGAAGGGAUCCAUGUGGUAUUGUCCCAGCAAUAACUCUGCCACAGAGAUAUGCGAUCUCCAGCAGCUGUCGGCAGGCUUCACUCCCAUUCCAUCCUCCUUCCUGCAUCCAGUAGUCUCCCAGCCCCGCCUCACCCUCCCACUGCUCCAGAAGAAUGACAGAACUCAGAGCUGCAAGAGAAAGAAGACUGAAUUCAGUCUCUCUUGCAGAAAAAUUGUUUUCCGUCAAGUUGAUAAUAAUGAUCACACUGAGAAUGAAUGACUCAAGAUGAAUAUCCAAAGAUAUAUCAAAACCUGGUCAGCAGUCGUGGGGAAAGGAAGAAAGCCUGAGUUGAGUUUAUGAAAGUUUUCCACUAAAGUCAGCAACAGCUUAAAUUCAAACCAGGCACAAGACGCUUGAAUCUCCAUAUGAGUUGUUCAUCAAAGGGCUGAAAGAAAAGAAAUCUGAGCCCGAGCACGGUCUGGCCUAAAAGCUUUCAAGUGACUCCUUUCUGUUGCAAAUGAAAGAAGUCCUGCUACUCUAAAGAAUAACUAAACCAGACUGGAGUCACUGAAACUGAUGGAAGAACAUCUCAGGCAUGAGUGCCAUGGUGACGUCAUCAGCUCCGUUCACAACCACUCACCAUGAGGCCAUUGCUCCUGUGGAGGACACUGGCUUAGGACUCAUGAAGUAGUACCUCAGGAAGGUGUCUCUGUAAGUGUUCCUUCCACCAGCUCCAAGACACAAUGAGAUGGAGAGAACUGGAACAAUUCCCUAUGAUUGCAGCUGGAUAUUUUCACAUGAACUAUCUAGUAAUGAAGGCAAUGGCAUGUGGUGUGGCAAAGACUGGCCCCAGAUUACAUUUCCAGUCCUUUUGUACUGAGGAGGGGCUUUGGGACCAAGACAGUAGGAGUGAGGGUACAGGUUCCACAUUCUAUUUCUCUCUUAGUUUUCUGUGGUUAUCUUGGUGACUGCAUGGUAAAGAUGGAGGUGACAAAAGAUGGAAGGAGCCUGGAUCCCUGAAUGACUUCAUGGUGCAGAGCCUUACACUACCCCCAACUCAUACUAAAACAGGGGUGGGAGGAACAAUAGACCAUUAUUCUGUUAAGGUGCUGAAAUUGUAGAGCUGUUAAUUUGAACAGUUAGAGUUUCUUAUACUGAUACAGUAUCCUUACCCUGGAUUGUUGAAAUAAUUAGUCCAAAUAGUUUCUUUGCCUAAAACUGUGGACAGAGCCUAAGCAAUAUUGAAUCCAAGACAAGGUAUAUUUAUCAUCAAAUGCUACUCACUAUACAAUACAGAUGAAUGUGGCACUUACUUCCCGUGUUGUUACCCAGCCUGCUUCUAGUAUUCUUUACACAAAAUAACAUUCAUGAGCAACCUGGGCACAAGA
This 1440-nucleotide long non-coding RNA is filed under the name Homo sapiens (human). RNAcentral's name for it is "HSALNT0393472". Lineage: Eukaryota; Metazoa; Chordata; Mammalia; Primates; Hominidae. The record is from RNAcentral.